AUUGAACGCUGGCGGCAUGCCUUACACAUGCAAGUCGAACGGUAACAGGUCUUCGGAUGCUGACGAGUGGCGAACGGGUGAGUAAUACAUCGGAACGUGCCCAGACGUGGGGGAUAACGAGGCGAAAGCUUUGCUAAUACCGCAUACGAUCUAAGGAUGAAAGCAGGGGACCGCAAGGCCUUGCGCGUUUGGAGCGGCCGAUGGCAGAUUAGGUAGUUGGUGGGAUAAAAGCUUACCAAGCCGACGAUCUGUAGCUGGUCUGAGAGGACGACCAGCCACACUGGGACUGAGACACGGCCCAGACUCCUACGGGAGGCAGCAGUGGGGAAUUUUGGUCAAUGGGCGGGAGCCUGAACCAGCCAAGUCGCGUGAAGGAAGAAGGAUCUAUGGUUCGUAAACUUCUUUUGCAGGGGAAUAAAGUGCAGGACGUGUCCUGUUUUGUAUGUACCCUGAGAAUAAGGAUCGGCUAACUCCGUGCCAGCAGCCGCGGUAAAG
Molecule: ribosomal RNA, 495 nt
Filed under: uncultured bacterium
Lineage: Bacteria
Description: bacterial SSU rRNA
Rfam family: Bacterial small subunit ribosomal RNA
Source: RNAcentral